This 529-nucleotide ribosomal RNA is filed under the name Hemiphractus proboscideus (Sumaco horned treefrog). RNAcentral describes it as "partial 16S ribosomal RNA". It matches the Rfam family "Bacterial large subunit ribosomal RNA", at positions 1810 to 2598 of the family's 2925-position model. Lineage: Eukaryota; Metazoa; Chordata; Amphibia; Anura; Hemiphractidae. The record is from RNAcentral.
AAAACAUCGCCUCUUGCCCAUAUUAUAAGAGGUCCAGCCUGCCCAGUGACACUGUUCAACGGCCGCGGUAUAUUAACCGUGCGAAGGUAGCGCAAUCACUUGUCCUUUAAAUAAGGACUAGUAUGAACGGCACCACGAAGGUUUAACUGUCUCCCCUUUCCAAUCAGUGAAACUAAUCUCCCCGUGAAAAAGCGGGAAUAGUAACAUAAGACGAGAAGACCCUAUGGAGCUUUAAAUAUUAACAACAACUGCCAUGCACCUAUGAUUGUUAAUUUUAGGUUGGGGCGACCACGGAGUAAAACCCAACCUCCGUGCUGAAUUAUAGCAAAACCCACAACUUUAAGCAUCACUAAAUUGACAUUCAUUGACCCAAUAACUGAUCAACGAACCAAGUUACCCUAGGGAUAACAGCGCCAUCCACUUCAAGAGCCCAUAUCGACAAGUGGGCUUACGACCUCGAUGUUGGAUCAAGGUACCCCAGUGGCGCAGCCGCUACUAAAGGUUCGUUUGUUCAACGAUUAACACCCUA